UGCGGGGUGGAGCAGCCCGGUAGCUCGCUUGGCUCAUAACCAAGAGGUCGCCAGUUCGAAUCUGGCCUCCGCAACCA
This 77-nucleotide transfer RNA is filed under the name Methylocystis rosea. RNAcentral's name for it is "tRNA-Met". It matches the Rfam family "tRNA". From Rfam's summary of the family: Transfer RNA (tRNA) molecules are approximately 80 nucleotides in length. Their secondary structure includes four short double-helical elements and three loops (D, anti-codon, and T loops). Lineage: Bacteria; Pseudomonadati; Pseudomonadota; Alphaproteobacteria; Hyphomicrobiales; Methylocystaceae. The record is from RNAcentral.